CUCCAGCACGCACACACAGCGCCUCCCCCUCCAGCACGCACACACAACGCCUCCUCCUCCUCCACUUCCUCCAUCCUGCUCCGUCCUCCAGCGCCGCCCCCUCCAACGUCUCCUCUCCUCGGCCACCUCUAGAUGAAGGACAAUUGUGUCUCCAUCAGUUCCUAGGUUACCAGCUCUUCUUUGCCGCUAAAGCACCCUGCAACAUCCUCUGCAUCAAGCAUAAGGAAAUACCUCUACAUCAGGAAAAGCAUGGCAAGCGGAGGAGGAAAUGUGAAUAAUACUGCUAGAAACAAAUACGAGCAAGAACGUGCAGAAAAGAUCAAGACAAAUAAUAUAGCUCUACAGGCUGUCAUUGAGAAGAGUAGAGAGUUGACUAACCUAACUAAGGGAAAUCUUGGGUCCACCUCUACUCAUCAGCAAAGAAAAAGAAAGGUCAUAAGCAGAAGAGACGUUGAAGUUCUGUUGGAUCUGAAGUACAUCGAUACGAAGUUAUUCCAGAAUUGAAUUGCGAUUGAAGAUGUCAAAUAUUGGCUGCAGUUUUUUUGUCUGCUAAUGCACCAUAGUUCUGUAUAGGAGAAUUGGAUAGUUACUGCACUUUUACCAGCUUUGCUAAAAAGCGAUAGCUUAUUUGUGUUGAAUGAUAGGAGUUACACUCUUAUAUAUAAUUCAGGUGAAUGUAAUCAAUAGUUUGGAAUUUAUGUGGGAUAAAAUUGGAUUUAUAUAUGUGUAUGUUCAACCUGAGUUGCUGUAUGUGUGGUGGAUCUCUUGUAGUUUCAAUUAAAUUCAGUACUCCUUCACGCAUUGUUUGCA
This is a long non-coding RNA of Oryza brachyantha (malo sina), 810 nucleotides long. RefSeq lists it as uncharacterized. The record is from RefSeq and is a predicted model, not a curated record. Lineage: Eukaryota; Viridiplantae; Streptophyta; Magnoliopsida; Poales; Poaceae. The transcript is spliced from 4 exons.